Molecule: long non-coding RNA, 3539 nt
Organism: Equus caballus (horse)
Lineage: Eukaryota; Metazoa; Chordata; Mammalia; Perissodactyla; Equidae
Source: Ensembl
GGAUAGCAGGCUGAGGAGUUCAGACUUCGCCCUCUGUGAAAGAGGGAGCAUUGAAUGUUUUUAAAGCAGAAGGAGUGCUGUCAGGACGGAGGCAGCACAGAGCGAGGAGGCCAGCUGGGAGGCUACUGCAAGAGUCCGGGGGAGAGGAGAUGAGGCCCUGAACCAUGGUGACUGAAUUCCUAGGGUUCCUAGUCAUUCCUCAUUCUUCCCAGAUGCUUCAGUGAAGGGGGAGACAAAGACUAGAGAAGGAAGCCAGACCAACGUGGGGUAGGUUUCACCCUGUUUCUUGGAAGAUUCCUCCCUUCUGAGUCAGAGCAACAUCUUUAUACAUACACGGGAGCUGUGGGCUGAGGAAGCUAAUUCACCUUAAAAAUAAGAAAGGUUGCAACCCACAAUUUGAAAAUCACUGGAGACAUGGGAUCACGUUAGGAGGUGCCAUCCUUGGAGGAAUGAGCAUCUGUGUGAGCAUGUGUGUGUGUGUAUGUGUACAAACACACUUGUUCUCUAAAGGUUGUCAUGUCACAGAUAUCUUCUGAGUAUCUGCUUUGAUCCUGAUCCCCUUUUCUGACAAUGCCUUUUUCCAUGCAUGGGGUGGGACCUGUUUCCUUGGUCAUAGCCACUUGGACCAGGGUUGGACCUGAAGCCAGUUGGAUUAUGGCUUCUGAGAGAGGACUCUGUGGCUCUUAAUAAUGACUCCUUCACCACCUAAGCUAAUUCAAGAGGGUUUCUAAACUUACGACCAAAACAUCUCUCAUUGUAUAAGCAUAGAAAACGUAAUGUACUAAGUUUGAGAUACAACUUUUAAAUUCAUUACAUUGCCUUAUUAAAUAUACUAUUUGAAUUUUCCAUUUCAGGGGUUGGCAAACUAUGGCCCAAGAGCCAAGUCCAGCCUAUGGCUUGGUUUUAUAUAGCCCACCAAUUAAGAAUGAUAUUUACAUUUUUAAAGGGCUGUGAAAAAAACAAAGUAGAACAUGAGACUGUGUGUGCCCCACAAUGCCUAAAAUAUGUACUAUUUCCCUCUUCACAGAAAAAGUUUGCCAACUCCUGCUCUAUAUCCCUGACAUUUCUUGUCUAUUUGAUCUGUCAAAUAUUCAGAGGUAUAUUAAACACACUCCUAUUAAGUUUUUGCUUUACACAUUUUGAUGCUCUACUCUUCAACACAUAAAAGUUUGUGAAAAGCAUAUCUUCCACAUCUCAUCAUUUUACAAAACAUAAAGUCAUGUGCCACAUAAUGGUGUUGUGAUCAACAGCAGACUGCAUAUAUGACGGUGGUCCCAGAAGAUUGGUACCAUACAGCCUAGGCAUGUGGUAGGCUAUACCAUCUAGGUUUCUAUAAGUACUGCAGAGGAGGAAGAAAUUUCCCUUACCCUUCUAGGUUCUUCUGGCUGGCCUAAGGAUUAAAUUGACAUGAGACAGAUUAACAGGAGAAAAACAAACAAAAGUUUAAUAGCAUGUGUACCUGGGAGAAACCCAGGAAAACCAAGUAACUUGACAAAAUGGCCGAAGCCCUCACCUUAAAUACUCCCCUCAGCUAAAGACAAAAGAAGAUGGUGGUGGUGGGGAGGGUCAGGGACUUCAGAGGGGAAGAAGGCAAUUCAUAGGCAGGUGAAAAGAAGCAAACAUUUGAAAAACAAGUGUUGGUUUGGCCACACAGAAAAGAACAGAGGGGAGCCCAACAAACAGGUUUUUCUAGGUCCCUCUCUGUCCGUCAUCUAGUUCACGUUAUGCUAAGGUGAUAGCUCACUUCCUGAGAAUUUUAUCUGAAUUCUUUUAAGAAGUUAAGGAGGAGGUAACAAGAACAAGUUUGUGAGUCUUUUGUUUCUUAAAAAUAAUCAGCCUAAAAUAAUCCUCAUGUUAAAGAGGCACAUUUUGGAGUGGCAAAUUUUGUUCCUGUUCAGUACACUCCAUGAUGUUUGCACGAGGACGAAAUCACCUAAUGAUGCAUUUCUCAGAAUGUGUCCCCAUCAUUAAGUGAUGUGUGACUGUAUCGUAAUUCUUGCUGUAGGUUUUGUUUGCAGUAGCCUGAUAUGUUUGCUCAUCCUUUAUCUUAACACUCUUUUGACAAAAUUGUUUUAAGCUGCUUCUUACAAGAAAUAUAGAUUGGUCUUGUUUUUUACUCAAUCUGAAAAUCUUCGGCUUAUAAGAGAGAAUGUAAUAGCUAGAGUAAAGCAUUUAUUGCUAUAAUUUGUUUGAAGCUAGUUCCAUUAUCUUGUUUCUUGCUUUCAGUCAAAGUUCGGACUGAAAUAGUGUAUGCCCUAGGAUGCUUUUGCCUACGAGUGAUAACCUACUCUUUCCUAAACAACUAAGAAAGUUAUCAUCUCAUCAAUAUAUACCAUAUUCUGGGCCACAAAACAAACUUUAACAAAUUUUCAAAAAUUGAAAUCAUAUUAAAUAUGUUCCUUGACCAUAACAAAAUAAAACAAAAGUCAAUAAAAGAAAGAGACCUGAAAAAAAUCUCAAAAUAUUAAACAACACGUAUAUAACCUCUGGGUCAAAGAGGAAGUCUAAAGGAUAAGUAGAAAAUAUUUUGAACUGAAUUAAAAUAAAUAAUCAACAUGUCAAAAUUUGUAGAAUGCACCUAAAGCAAUUUAGGGGGAAUUUAUAGCACUAAACACUUAUAUCAGACAAGCAGAAAGGCCUCAAACAGUCUCAGUCAGUGUGGGCCGCUAUAAAAAAAUUACCACAGACCGGGCGGCUUGAACAACAAACAUUUAUUUCUCACUGUUCUGGAGGCUGGAAGUCUGAGAUCAGGGUGCCAGCACGGCUGGGCUCUUGGCAACGGCCCUCAGAGACAGAUUCCGUGUCCCCUCCUCUUUUUAUAAGGGCGUUAAUCGCAUCAUGAGGCCCCCACUCUCAUGACCUCAUCUAACCCUAAUCACCACCCCAAAGCCCCACCUCUAAAUAGCAUCACAUAGGGCUUCAGCAUAUGAAUCUGGGAGGGAACACAAACAUUCAAUCCAUAACACACAAUAAUGUAAACUUCCACCUUAUGAAAUAGAAAAAGAGCAAAUUAAACCCAAAGCAAGCAGAAAGAAGAAAAUAAAAAGAUAAGAGCUGAGAUUAAUACAAUUAGAAACAAAAGAGAAAACAAUAGAAAAAUCAAUGAAACCAAAAGCUAGUUCUUUGAUAAGAUUUAAAAAAAAAAAACUUUGAAAAACCUCUAGCCAGCUGACCAAGGAAAAAAAGAGAGAAGUCAUGAAUUGCCAUUAUCACUAUAGAACGUACAGCCAUUAGACAGAUAAUAGUGGAAAACUAAGAAAAAGUCUAUACCCAUAUAUUUGACAAUGUGGAUAAAAUCAAUCAAUUCCUUGAAAGACAAAAACUAAAACUCACUCAAGAAAAAAUAGAUGACCUGAAAUAGUCCUGUGUCUAUUGAAUACAUUACAUUUGUAGUAAAAUUAAAUUAAAACUUUCUCACAAAGAAAAUUUCAGACCCAAGUGAUUUCACCAGCAAAUUCUACCCAACACUUAAGGAAGAAAUAAUACCAAUUAUACACAACCUUUUCCAGAAAAUAGAAAAGGAGGGAGUUUUAUGAGGC